GACGAACGCUGGCGGCGUGCUUAACACAUGCAAGUCGAACGGUGAACCUCUUCGGAGGGGAUCAGUGGCGAACGGGUGAGUAACACGUGGGCAACCUGCCCCCGGCUCUGGGAUAACUCCAAGAAAUUGGGGCUAAUACCGGAUGUUCACCGCUUCCCGCAUGGGUGGGGGUGGAAAGGGUUUCCGGCUGGGGAUGGGCCCGCGGCCUAUCAGCUUGUUGGUGGGGUAGUGGCCUACCAAGGCGAGGACGGGUAGCCGGCCUGAGAGGGUGACCGGCCACACUGGGACUGAGACACGGCCCAGACUCCUACGGGAGGCAGCAGUGGGGAAUAUUGCGCAAUGGGCGGAAGCCUGACGCAGCGACGCCGCGUGGGGGAUGACGGCCUUCGGGUUGUAAACCUCUUUCAGCAGGGACGAAGCGCAAGUGACGGUACCUGCAGAAGAAGCACCGGCCAACUACGUG
This 463-nucleotide ribosomal RNA is filed under the name uncultured bacterium. RNAcentral's name for it is "partial 16S ribosomal RNA". It matches the Rfam family "Bacterial small subunit ribosomal RNA", at positions 28 to 507 of the family's 1533-position model. The record is from RNAcentral.